CAAGGCCUUACAAUGUGCCUGUGACUUUUUGAAAGAUCUCCUAGCUUCAAACCACAGACAACUUCCCUGCUAUGCAUCACUGAGUCUCUCUGCUCCCAGAUAUUUUCAUCCAAGGUCCUAAAAGUGGUGACAAGUCCGCAAUGUCAUGCCUGAAUAUUACUUGACUGAGCAAAAGGAUAAUGGGAUACUUCCCCCAUGUCUUGGAAUGAAGAGGAAACCAAUUAGCUGAGAGGACACCAAGCAUCAGCUGAAUAAAAAUGGAGCAAGUUGGACAGCACCCAGGCAGGGAUGCACAGGAGGAAGAUGUGCAGCACCAAACACAUCAGGAGGACAGCAGUGUUUGAGAGGCUUAGAUCAAGCAGCUGACAAGUUAAAGGUCUCAGGAUGGAUGGAGAUUAACUGAGACUGAAGAGAGCUCAGCAUCCAGCAAUGAGUACCAGAUGCUGGAGAGCUGCUUCGGUCACUGGUGAUUCCAGGAGAGCCCUGACUCUGCCAUGGCCUCCUGACAAGGCAGAGCUCAGCCUGCCUGGUCCCAGGGGCUGUGGCUGAUCCCAGACUGCAGAGCUACACUGCUGCUGGGUAACAGAGAGGAGCAGCAGCAUUUGGGACACAUCAGGAUCCAAGGAGUAACGCCCCCAUGGGUCACUGUCUGAUGACAGCUCCAUCCAUCACAUCCCAUCAGUCUGUUAUUGCCUAGAGGUCUUGAUUCAAUAAAAGCAGUAAAAAAGAAA
Molecule: non-coding RNA, 731 nt
Organism: Taeniopygia guttata (zebra finch)
Lineage: Eukaryota; Metazoa; Chordata; Aves; Passeriformes; Estrildidae
Source: RefSeq, a predicted model, not a curated record